This 1042-nucleotide long non-coding RNA is filed under the name Arabidopsis lyrata. Its description in RNAcentral is "long non-coding RNA (ALYR_LNC001490)". Lineage: Eukaryota; Viridiplantae; Streptophyta; Magnoliopsida; Brassicales; Brassicaceae. The record is from RNAcentral.
GGUGGUCGGUGCUUCUCGCCGACACCGUGAGAGGGCUUUUGUUUGAUUGUUUUAGUUGGUAUCUUGCUUUGUUCUCAGUCUACGCCGGUAUCUUCUGUGAUGAUGCUUAGACGAUUGGAGUUGCGGAGUUGUCGCAAUUGGAUCUUUGGUGGCUGCGACGUUGGGUUUUGCAAGGAUUUGCGGUUUCUCCAGAGUUUAAAGGUUUUCUUUGGCUAGUGUGGCCGGAUGUUGGUGGAUCUGGCUCGUGGCGAGAGAGAGUAAGCGGUUGUUGGUGGAGGUUCUGUCUUCUUGGUUCUUUUGGGGCUGUGGGUUGUUUGGUUUUAUCGGGUGAGCUUUCGUUGGCUUUUCCUUGGUUGUGCUUGGUGUAGAUCUGUUAGUUUGUGUUGAAGGUUUAGAUGGUGUUUUUGGCUUGCGCAAUGGUGUAGUUAGGCUUGAUCUUGGUUCUAACUCUACGGGUUAUUGUACGGCUUUGCUGUGCUUUCCGGUUUUAGUGUCAUGCUUGCUCUAGCUCUCUGUUUUGGGUUCCUAGUUCUUCUUCGCCGAGUGCUACCUCUCGUUUGGGUGUGGUUUCUGGUGGGCUGGGUUCGUGUUUGAGGUUUGUCAAUCGGAUGGUACAUCGUUGCAGGUGCAUCUACUAGCUCUUCUCUAAAGCCUUCUUUGGUUUGUGUGGUUGGGUUCAAGGCGCAGCAGUGGUUUCGUUUACUAGUUCUUCUCUUGCGAGGUCGUGACCGGUUCAUGUCUGUAGGUGGCAUUGAUUGGUUUGCUUUGUCCGCGUGUAAGGGUUGGUGCUCCUCUUUGGCUUAUCCUCAGCCGUUUUCAAAGGUCCAUCUUUGUGCCUAGUUUCGUUCGAGCUCAUUAUCCUUCUGAAGUUGGCGUGAUGGUGCUUGUUGCUGUGCUCGCUUCUUAGCUUAUUCCUUCUCUCUGUUAUGUCGGGUUGUGGCUAGUUGAGCUCUCGGAUUAGUUCUUCUUCGGAUUCUCCGGUAGUUUGGAGAUUGUCUGUUUCUUUUCGAGGCUCUUGUUUCUUGGUCCAGCUCCGUCGCCA